GGUCCUGGCUGCUGGGGACAUUUUGCACCUUCACUUAAGAUGAACCUGCUGCUGAUUUUCCUGUUCAUGCUGGUGAUCCCUUUAGGUGUCCUCUCCCAAGCGCAGCUGAAGGAAACGGGCCUGGGAGCGGCGAAACCGAGGGAGUCCCUAACACUCACUUGUGCCAUCUCCGGAGAUUUGGUUUCUAGCACCAGCACCACGGGGGCCUGGUUCCAGCAGCCUGUGGGGAAAGAGCCAGAACUGGUGGCAUGUAUAUUGUAUAGAUCUAGAAGUUGGCACACUGACUAUGCCAGCGCUUUGCAGAGUCGAGAGAUCAUCUCCCAAGACACUUCCAAGAACCAGUUCUCCCUGCCGCUCUGCUCACUGACAGCUGCAGACACCGCCACCUAUUACUGUGCCAGAGACAUAGAGACACAGAGCAAAGAAGGGACUGGCACAAGAGGGGGAAGUGGAUUCUGA
Molecule: non-coding RNA, 459 nt
Organism: Chelonoidis abingdonii (Abingdon island giant tortoise)
Lineage: Eukaryota; Metazoa; Chordata; Testudines; Testudinidae
Source: the annotation of a RefSeq genome assembly